This is a long non-coding RNA of Harpegnathos saltator (Jerdon's jumping ant), 544 nucleotides long. RefSeq lists it as uncharacterized. The record is from RefSeq and is a predicted model, not a curated record. Lineage: Eukaryota; Metazoa; Arthropoda; Insecta; Hymenoptera; Formicidae. The transcript is spliced from 3 exons.
GGUUUUAAAAAUUAUAAUCUUUUCAACAAUAUGUAACAAUAUGUACUAUCUUACACUUUCCGACUAAAAAGAACAGACCAUAAGUCUCUGUAUUACCGGCAUGACAGAUUUUUACUUCGCGUGUCAUUUUUUAUUACUUCAUAACUUUUGAUCCGUUUGAGAACGACACCUUUUUCUUUCAAAAUCGUGUUCUAAGCACCAAAAUACACAACUAUGCAAAGUUUGAGCAAAAUCCAAGUGAUGACGGCCACCAGGAAGGCUUUUUACCAUCUAACUGAUCAUUCUUCAAUUUGUUCAUAAGAAUACUGGUUAUAAUUCUGUCAACAUCAUGCGUUUGUCCAUAAUAAUCAACAAAUAAGCCUUCUGGAUCAACCAAGUAUAUGAUAAUUGAAAUACUAACGAUAUAGUCAUCAUCUUGAUCCUUAGGGCCACUGCUAAAAUAAACUCGGUAUGCUUUGCAUACUUUUGCAACUUGGUCUAUGCUACCUGUGAGACCAAUAAUUUUAUCAGAGAAUUCUUUAAGAUAUUUGUCUACAACAGCAGG